Molecule: ribosomal RNA, 256 nt
Filed under: uncultured bacterium
Lineage: Bacteria
Description: partial 16S ribosomal RNA
Rfam family: Bacterial small subunit ribosomal RNA
Source: RNAcentral
UACGGGGGGAGCAAGCGUUGUUCGGAUUUACUGGGCGUAAAGGGCGCGUAGGUGGUCUGACAAGUUAUCAGUGGCAAAUCGAGGCUCAACCUCGUGGAAACUGGUAAUACUGUUCGGCUUGAGUACAGGAGAGGUUAACGGAACUCUAUGUGGAGCGGUAAAAUGCACAGAUAUAUAGAAGAACAUCAAUAAAGGCGAAGGCAGUUAACUAUUCUGUUACUGACGCUGAGGCACGAAAGCGUGGGGAGCAAAACGG